RNAcentral lists this ribosomal RNA (1265 nucleotides) under metagenome. Its description in RNAcentral is "bacterial SSU rRNA". It matches the Rfam family "Bacterial small subunit ribosomal RNA", at positions 219 to 1498 of the family's 1533-position model. The record is from RNAcentral.
CGGAGGAUGAGCCUAUGUCCUAUCAGCUAGUUGGUGGGGUAAAGGCCUACCAAGGCAAUGACGGGUAGCUGGACUGAGAGGUCGGUCAGCCACAAUAGCACUGAGACACGGGCUAUACAUCUACGGAUGGCAGCAACUGGGAAUAUUGCGCAAUGGGCGAAAGCCUGACGCAGCGACACCGCGUGGGGGAUGAAGGCCUUAGGGUCGUAAACCCCUUUUGACAGGGAAUCCACAAGCAGUUACAUGCUUGUGGGUACGGUACCUGUAGAAUAAGCACCUGCUAACCACGUGCCAGCAGCCGCGGUAAUACGUGGGGUGCGAACGCUAUCCGGAUUUACUGGGCGUAAAGAGUUCGUAGGCGUUUUUCUAAGUUUCAUUUGAAAGACCGAGGCCUAACCUCGGGACCGGAUGAAAUACUAGAAGGAUUUGAGUCGGUUAGGGGGUACUGGAAUUGACAGUGUAGCAGUGAAAUGCGUUGAUAUUGUCAAGAACACCAAGGGCGAAGGCAGGUACCUGGGACCGCACUGACGCUGAGGAACGAAAGCUAGGGGAGCGAAAGGGAUUAGAGACCCCUGUAGUCCUAGCCGUAAACUAUGCACGCUUGAUCCCUGGAACUUGUUUUGGGGGUUGGAGCUAACGCGUGAGGCGUGCCGCCUGGGGAGUACGACCGCAAGGUUAAAACUCAAAGGAAUUGACGGGAUAGUGCACAACCAGGGGAGCAUGUGGUUCAAUUCGAUACGAAGCGAAAAACCUUACCCAGAUUUGACAUGUUACCGUGUAGUCCUAUGGAAACACUGGAUGAUCUACCUAAAAAAUAGAUGGUAACACAGCUGCUGCAUGGCUAUCUUCAGCUCGUGCCGUGGGGUGCCGCUUAAGUGCCGAAACGAGCGCAACCCUUAUCCUAUGUUCAAUAGUCAUGGGAAACUGCCUCGCUUAUGGCGGGGAGGAAGGAGGGGAUGACAUUAAGUCAGCAUGGCGCUUAUAUCUGGGGCCACACACAUCCUACAAUGGGGAGUAACAACGGGUUGCCAAGCCGUAAGGCGGAGCUAAUCCCAACAAAACUCCCCUCAGUUCAGAUUGAGGGCUGCAAUUCGCCCUCAUGAAGCCGGACUUGGUAGUAAUCGCGGGUCAGCAGACCGCGGUGAAUACGUUCUCACUCUUUGUACACACCGCCCAUCAAGCCAGCAAAGUCGGCAGUACCUGAAACCUCGCCUUUGGCGGGGCAAGGGUAAGGUCGGCGAUGAGGGCUAAGUUGUAACAAGGUA